ACACAUGCAAGUCGAGGGGCAGCAUAAUGGAUAGCAAUAUCUAUGGUGGCGACCGGCGCACGGGUGCGUAACGCGUAUGCAACCUACCUUUAACAGGGGGAUAACACUGAGAAAUUGGUACUAAUACCCCAUAAUAUCAUAGAAGGCAUCUUUUAUGGUUGAAAAUUCCGAUGGUUAGAGAUGGGCAUGCGUUGUAUUAGCUAGUUGGUGGGGUAACGGCUCACCAAGGCGACGAUACAUAGGGGGACUGAGAGGUUAACCCCCCACACUGGUACUGAGACACGGACCAGACUCCUACGGGAGGCAGCAGUGAGGAAUAUGGGUCAAUGGACGCAAGUCUGAACCAGCCAUGCCGCGUGCAGGAUGACGGCUCUAUGAGUUGUAAACUGCUUUUGUACGAGGGUAAACGCAGAUACGUGUAUCUGUCUGAAAGUAUCGUACGAAUAAGGAUCGGCUAACUCCGUGCCAGCAGCCGCGGUAAUACGGAGGAUUCAAGCGUUAUCCGGAUUUAUUGGGUUUAAAGGGUGCGUAGGCGGUUUGAUAAGUUAGAGGUGAAAUUUCGGGGCUCAACCCUGAACGUGCCUCUAAUACUGUUGAGCUAGAGAGUAGUUGCGGUAGGCGGAAUGUAUGGUGUAGCGGUGAAAUGCUUAGAGAUCAUACAGAACACCGAUUGCGAAGGCAGCUUACCAAACUAUAUCUGACGUUGAGGCACGAAAGCGUGGGGAGCAAACAGGAUUAGAUACCCUGGUAGUCCACGCAGUAAACGAUGAUAACUCGUUGUCGGCGAUACACAGUCGGUGACUAAGCGAAAGCGAUAAGUUAUCCACCUGGGG
This 833-nucleotide ribosomal RNA is filed under the name uncultured bacterium. RNAcentral's name for it is "bacterial SSU rRNA". It matches the Rfam family "Bacterial small subunit ribosomal RNA", at positions 51 to 878 of the family's 1533-position model. The record is from RNAcentral.